RNAcentral lists this ribosomal RNA (468 nucleotides) under uncultured bacterium. RNAcentral describes it as "partial 16S ribosomal RNA". It matches the Rfam family "Bacterial small subunit ribosomal RNA", at positions 28 to 507 of the family's 1533-position model. The record is from RNAcentral.
GAUGAACGCUGGCGGCGUGCUUAACACAUGCAAGUCGAACGGAAAGGCCAGUGCUUGCACUGGUACUCGAGUGGCGAACGGGUGAGUAACACGUGGGUGAUCUGCCCUGCACUUCGGGAUAAGCCUGGGAAACUGGGUCUAAUACCGGAUAGGACAAUGGUUUGGAUGCCGUUGUGGAAAGUUUUUUCGGUGUGGGAUGAGCUCGCGGCCUAUCAGCUUGUUGGUGGGGUAAUGGCCUACCAAGGCGUCGACGGGUAGCCGGCCUGAGAGGGUGUACGGCCACAUUGGGACUGAGAUACGGCCCAGACUCCUACGGGAGGCAGCAGUGGGGAAUAUUGCACAAUGGGCGCAAGCCUGAUGCAGCGACGCCGAGUGGGGGAUGACGGCCUUCGGGUUGUAAACUCCUUUCGCUAGGGACGAAGCGUAUUUGUGACGGUACCUGGAGAAGAAGCACCGGCUAACUACGUG